This is a long non-coding RNA of Xiphophorus hellerii (green swordtail), 1641 nucleotides long. RefSeq lists it as uncharacterized. The transcript has 2 exons. Lineage: Eukaryota; Metazoa; Chordata; Actinopteri; Cyprinodontiformes; Poeciliidae. The record is from RefSeq and is a predicted model, not a curated record.
UUCAAACUAGACGAACAACUAAUUGGCUAAUGAAACACUAAAACAUUAGUAUUUCAUUAGCCAAACACUAUUGAAUUUAGUAGUUUGGCACUUAAUUCAUCAUCACUGCUAUUCAUAUUCCUCCUAGUGCCAACAUUAAGGAGGCUCUCUGCGUUCUCUACUGUUCCAUCAUUGACUUGAAAACUAUUCAUCAAGAGGGUGUUGUCAUUGUUGCUGGAGACUUCAAUCGGGCCAAUAUGAAGACAGUUCUCCCUCAUUUCCAUCAGCAAGUAGACUUUGCAACUGGAGGCUCAAAUACAUAGGAUAGAGCCUACACAAAAAUUAAGGCAGGAUUCAAGGCAGCACCACGCCCCCACCUUGGUUCAUCAGACCACCUUUCUGAGCUUUAUUGCUCAUCAGCAAAAAAAACAUUGAGAAGUAGGUGAGAGUGUGGCCUGCAGGAUUUGUGUCAGCAUUACAUUACUGUUUUGAAUGCACAGACUGAGAUGCUUUCAGGGAAGCUGCAACUGAAAACCAUCACACCAAAGUUGAGGAGCAUGCCAAAUCGGUGUCUAAGUACAUACUGAAGUGCAUGUAGGAUGUCUCUGUGACCAAGAUCAUCACCACAAGGGCAAAUAAGAAACACUGGAUGACAAAGGAUGCUGAAAGCACAAAACUUUGCUUUUAAAUGUGGGGACAGAGAGAUGCUCAGGUCAGCCAGCCAAUGGAAGUUCAGGCUUUUAAGAUAGGCUUGCUAUCUGACUAAGGAAUACAUACACAGAUCUAGUCUGCUGAUAUUAAUGAUUAUAUGCAGUCUCCUCAGAUCCAACAGGAGCUAGUGUAAACAAACCUAUCAUCUGAUAGGGCUGGGUUAAAAAAAAAAUUAAAUUAAUUUUCUUUUGAAUGGCUUGACUAAUAAAAUCCUUAAAUUGAUUCAUUUAGUAGAAUCUUUAAAAACUGCGGAAGCACUUAUGCCCCUUUUCCACCGGCUUGGCUCUACUCUGCUUGCUUUGCAAGCUUUUCCACCAGCUUUUUUUCGAGGCUGGCCCUGCUUUUAACGUCCCUGCUGCGGAGCAGGGCCAGCCGGGCCGGUCCUGCUUUCGUGGGUGGCGCAAGCUUCGCUCCUGUUCACUGAUUGGCCGAGGGCGUGGUCAGAUGUAGCAGCAAAGAGAGAAGAAAAAGGAAAAGUGCAACAUUUCAAACUGCAACACGGAAGUGAUGGAAGUUACAAGCAAGUGGUGAACAAAGAUGCCGGCUUUUCUUUGCAUCGGAUUUUAAUAUUCAGUGGCAGCUCGAGGGAACAGUUAGGAAUAAGUCAUUUUUGUCAACGCAACAGAGGGAAUGGAAACCCUCGUUAGCCGCUUUGGAACCCGACGCAGCCCUACGCCGCAGCUGCUCUCCAGCCAAGUGAGGGAACAGAAGAAGAGGAACAUGGCUGACACAAUGGUGAACGAUGAUGAGAAACAUCAGAACAACAACUGGAUCUCCUUCAGGAGGAAGCAGCUACCAGCACUGAGAUGGCAGAUCUCCAUGGAGAAGAGUUGACACAAACAAAAGAUAAACAAAUGCUGUUGUGCUCUCAAAGAACAAAGUCUCUUUUUUUAUACUCACUCCAUACAUUAUUGCAAGACGACUACCCACACAGCCACAGUUGCCCCUGAA